Long non-coding RNA from Sabethes cyaneus, 1117 nucleotides. RefSeq lists it as uncharacterized. The record is from RefSeq and is a predicted model, not a curated record. The transcript is spliced from 3 exons. NCBI's taxonomy places the organism in Eukaryota, Metazoa, Arthropoda, Insecta, Diptera, Culicidae.
UGGAUGUGCAUAUCGCAGCAUUUGAGUGCAACGCGCCAUCCAAUAUCUAGGUAGUGUGCUGCUGCUGCUGCUACGUAAGCAGUCAGUCGGUGAAGCACAAUGGCGAUUCCUAAACUGCUAAAUGCGCAAAUUUCGUGCUCAUGAGUUCAAAAAUGGUGGUGCUGCUGCUAGGCGGACGUGAGUGUGCAUUCGGAUAAGGUGUUUUUGACGUGAAUAUGAGCGUGAUUUUUCUGCUCGCAAAAGAAUUAUAUUAACUCACAUUGCCGUGCUACCUCCAGAACCUAAUCAUUUAUUGAUCUUUACACUUCUGUACACUUACGGAUGCAAUGUUUUACGAUAUUCAAUGUACUUACCCGUUUUUAUGGUUUGAUGCUGUCUUUGGAAAGCAUGCGGUAGUAAAGAUCUGCAGUUAGUGUUGCGUGUCGUGGGUGAAAAAAUAUUACGGAAGCCCAAUUGAAAAUUGCAAAAGAGAAAUUUCGUUAACAAGAAUCGAGAAGCUAUUGGAGCAAUUGGAGUAAAGAAGAUGCCGGGAAGUUGUUUGAAGUGUAAUCAGCCGGUCAGUUGCUAAUACGUUGCUUAAUACGACUGUAAAGGAUGGAUUCAAUUCCAUGAGGAUGUAUCUUCCAUACUCCACAAAUCCUCAGACGCAAACAGUGCGUUGAUUGACAUUGAAUUUCAGCCCUGGGUUUGCUCUUAUGUUCUCAACACCUUCAGAUGCAGGUUUCGUUCCUUGAUUCCCUUACGACGCUUGCUAAGUUCCUGUCGAUCGAUAGUGUGCCGUUCACGGAAAUGUUUGAGCACGCUUCAUACGAUUGAUUAAUCCAACGACAAUUUUUGAACCUGCUGUUAACAUAAACUAGAUGGUAUUCUAGCAGAGAAGUGGCUGUGGUUCCAUCUGUUCAUGCAUGGGAGCUCAAAGAAAGACAGCUUGCUCAAGAAAAAAUGAAGCUGGACUAGACGACUAGCUGAUGAAGCAAUAUUCCAAGAAAGGAAACGUUUGUGCUUCUGGUGAAGCUUGAAGCGUUCGUCGGCGGUGAUCAAGAAGGAGCUGCCUUCAUUCAAGAACCUUCCCAGCUAGCAUUUUCAUAUGUAUAAAAUUGUAAAAAUCAGCAUUACG